UACCAGCACCCCGAGUGGUCGGGACGUUUAUUGGGCCUAAAGCAUCCGUAGCCGGUUCUACAAGCCUUCCGUUAAAUCCACCUGCUUAACAGAUGGGCUGCGGAAGAUACUAUGGAGCUAGGAGGCGGGAGAGGCAAGCGGUACUCGAUGGGUAGGGGUAAAAUCCGUUGAUCCAUUGAAGACCACCAGUGGCGAAGGCGGCUUGCCAGAACGCGCUCGACGGUGAGGGAUGAA
RNAcentral lists this ribosomal RNA (234 nucleotides) under uncultured bacterium. RNAcentral describes it as "partial 16S ribosomal RNA". It matches the Rfam family "Archaeal small subunit ribosomal RNA", at positions 474 to 708 of the family's 1478-position model. The record is from RNAcentral.